This 121-nucleotide small RNA is filed under the name Marmota monax (woodchuck). The record is from RNAcentral. Lineage: Eukaryota; Metazoa; Chordata; Mammalia; Rodentia; Sciuridae.
CAAUCAAUCAAUCAAUCUCCAUCAAUGACUAAAAAAAAAAGAAUAAAUAAAAAAUAUGCAUUAUAAAAGGGAACAUAUCCCCUAAUUCUUUCUUCACAACAGAAAGAGGAGCACACUGAUU